CCCUGCAGAAUAAAGAAGCCGGGCCUCCAAGGGAGUAUUUACACCUUAGGAAAGUUUAAAGUUGGGAAGAGAACAGCAGGAACUGGACACAUAUAUGGAAGAAUAAAAAAAGAACAACACUCCCUGAGGACCAAAGUUCCUCUGACCCAGCUAUUACAGGAGUGAUGAAUAAGCCUCAAAUCUUUGGAUACACCCGGCAAAUUUUAGAUGCUCAUGCAAUGCUGCUGAGCUCCUUACAAAGGGUUGCAAAAAAAGAUUUCCUCAGAAGAUAAAGUACAAGCUUCAAGAUGGGCUGGGUAUUCCAGGAGAAACGUUUUUCUCCUGUUAUUUGCAAGUACCUUGCUGUUUCUGCAAAAGGCAUCAGCUGGAGACAUUGAAGACUGCGGGCAAGCCCAGAAAAGCUGCUUCACGCUAUGGGAUCUCUUCUGUUCCCUACCCUGCCUCCCCAAAUAUGAAGAAGACACCCUGAGGUGCAUUUGGCUGAGAAUGGGAUGAAGGAGAGAGGCGGAAGAAGAAAAAUACAACUGCCCGGUUGAUUGCAUGACAAAUCCAGGCUGCUUCUUCCAGCAUCUGCUGGGGAGCGUGAGGUGCCCCCUGAUGGGCAGAAACAGCUGCAUCUGACCCCAUCCUUGGCUGCAGGAAACCCUGAGCAAUG
Molecule: long non-coding RNA, 655 nt
Filed under: Chrysemys picta bellii (western painted turtle)
Lineage: Eukaryota; Metazoa; Chordata; Testudines; Emydidae
Description: lncRNA (ENSCPBG00000020913.1)
Source: RNAcentral